UACGGAGGGUGCGAGCGUUGUCCGGAAUCACUGGGCGUAAAGGGCGCGUAGGCGGUCUGCUAAGCGUGCGGUGAAAGCUCGGGGCUUAACUCCGAGUCGGCCGUGCGAACUGGUGGACUGGAGCACUGUAGAGGCGGGUGGAAUUCCGGGUGUAGCGGUGGAAUGCGUAGAGAUCCGGAAGAACACCGGUGGCGAAGGCGGCCCGCUGGGCAGUGGCUGACGCUGAGGCGCGACAGCGUGGGGAGCAAAC
Molecule: ribosomal RNA, 250 nt
Filed under: uncultured bacterium
Lineage: Bacteria
Description: partial 16S ribosomal RNA
Rfam family: Bacterial small subunit ribosomal RNA
Source: RNAcentral